AUACGGAGGGUGCAAGCGUUGUUCGGAAUCACUGGGCGUAAAGGGCGCGCAGGCGGUUUGGUAAGUCAGAUGUGAAAGCCCACGGCUCAACCGUGGAAGUGCAUUUAAAACUGUCAGACUUGAGUACUAGAGGGGAAAGUGGAAUUCCCGGUGUAGAGGUGAAAUUCGUAGAUAUCGGGAGGAAUACCGGUGGCGAAGGCGACUUUCUGGCUAGAUACUGACGCUGAGGCGCGAAAGCGUGGGGAGCAAACAGGAUUAGAUACCCCGGUAGUCC
Molecule: ribosomal RNA, 274 nt
Filed under: uncultured bacterium
Lineage: Bacteria
Description: partial 16S ribosomal RNA
Rfam family: Bacterial small subunit ribosomal RNA
Source: RNAcentral